This 253-nucleotide ribosomal RNA is filed under the name uncultured microorganism. Its description in RNAcentral is "partial 16S ribosomal RNA". It matches the Rfam family "Bacterial small subunit ribosomal RNA", at positions 524 to 776 of the family's 1533-position model. The record is from RNAcentral.
UACGUAGGGUGCGAGCGUUGUUCGGAAUUACUGGGCGUAAAGCGUGCGCAGGCGGCCCGUUAAGACAGGUGUGAAAUCCCUGGGCUCAACCUAGGAAUUGCGCUUGUGACUGGCGGGCUCGAGUACGGUAGAGGGGGGUGGAAUUCCUGGUGUAGCAGUGAAAUGCGUAGAGAUCAGGAGGAACACCGAUGGCGAAGGCAGCCCCCUGGGCCUGCACUGACGCUGAGGCGCGAAAGCGUGGGGAGCAAACAGG